AGAAAAAUCUAUCGUGUUCAAGACACGAUUGAAAUUGAAGAGAUGCAUUUGAAGGAAGACCGGGAGCGUGAAGAGCGUGAGGAAGAGGGCAACAAACAAAGCUCAGAGGACCUUGAAAAAUUUACGUGGGAGUAUGUGAAUUUCAUGUCCCUAAAUGAGGAAAACAACGAGGUACUCAAGUACUAUGAGGAUGAGAAGGAAAAGCUUAAAAAGAAUGCAGACCGCAUGGAGGAGGAGAUACAGAGCAUGGCUCUCUGCAUUGAAGAAGAGCAGGAGAAAAAAAACAAAGUCAAAGCAGAAGUGGAGAUGAUAAAUAAUGUCAAGGACUCAAGGAGAAUGAAAAUAUGGACAAAGACCGAACAGUUGUGUGAGGAGCUUGCGAAGGUCCAAGCGAGCUAUGGGGAGCAGGCCAACAGCCCUGCGUAUCCAUUGAUGAUACUGCUCCAGUUGGAGGACUGGAUUUCUGACUCUCUGGAUUUGAUCGAAAACAUGCCAGCUGAGAGGCUCUGCAAAAUACAAAAGCGGAUUUGCAAACAUUAUGAAAUCAGGGAACAGGAACAGAAACGUAUUAGGCGUGAAGCUUUAUUAGAAGAACGGAGGCAGAGAAGACAGGAGAGAGCACUUUCUCAUUCAGUGAAACUGACCGGAAAAAAGCUGAUGCCACGUAGCCAGCCUCCGAAGAAGAUAAGAAAGAGAGAGGAACCAGUGGAAACCAAGAAGACAAAGGAGGAUUUAUACGCUCACUUUGUGGAAUAAUUCGCCUCCGAGCUCCUCCACGGCCUUCUCCAGUGCCCUGUCAUCCUCCACCGAGAAGAAAAACCUCCAGUACCCACUGUGCAAACAAAAAAAACAAUAACCCUUAGGCAACUUAGAUAUUAGGAAGAUAAUUGAUAGUAGAUAGACAUCUUAGAUUUUGGUAAAAUAUUAGUGAAUAAUUGAUAGUAGUA
This 947-nucleotide long non-coding RNA is filed under the name Sinocyclocheilus anshuiensis. RNAcentral's name for it is "lncRNA (ENSSANG00000030277.1)". The record is from RNAcentral. Lineage: Eukaryota; Metazoa; Chordata; Actinopteri; Cypriniformes; Cyprinidae.